UACAGAGGGGGCAAGCGUUGUUCGGAAUUACUGGGCGUAAAGGGCGCGUAGGCGGCCCGCUAAGUCGAACGUGAAAUCCCCGAGCUCAACUCGGGAACUGCGUCCGAUACUGGCGGGCUUGAAUCCGGGAGAGGGAUGCGGAAUUCCAGGUGUAGCGGUGAAAUGCGUAGAUAUCUGGAGGAACACCGGUGGCGAAGGCGGCAUCCUGGACCGGCAUUGACGCUGAGGAGCGAAAGCUAGGGGAGCAAACGGG
This 253-nucleotide ribosomal RNA is filed under the name uncultured bacterium. RNAcentral's name for it is "partial 16S ribosomal RNA". It matches the Rfam family "Bacterial small subunit ribosomal RNA", at positions 524 to 776 of the family's 1533-position model. The record is from RNAcentral.